AGGAAGGAAGGAAGAAAGAAAGAAAGAAAGAAAGAAAGAAAGAAAGAAAGAAAGAAAGAAAGAAAGAAAGAAAGAAAGAAAAAGGAUGGAAGGAAGGAAGGAAGGAAAGAAGGAAGGAAAGAAGGAAGGAAGGAAGGAAGGAAGGAAGGAAGGAAGGAAGGAAGGAAGGAAGGAAGGAAGGAAGGAGGGAAGGGAAGGAGAGAAGGAAAGAAAAAAUGAAAAAAAAAAGAUUUGCCAGAAAUAAUGUGCAAUAAGGUACUACUGUUGUACUCUACACAACAAAAAAUACUUGAAGAUACAUUUUAGACCAACAUAGUCUUGAGUCUUUAAACUGUAAUUUAGAAGUAGGCAUGAGAAAUCUUCCCUUCCUAAGCCAUUGAAUAUUUAUUACUGCUUUGCAAAUAGUUAAAGGAAUAUAUUAACAGUAAAGCUUAGCUCAAGAAAGAUACAAAAUGGUAGAGCUAGAAAGAAAAAUCAAUGUAUUUCUGUGAAUGUGACACAUCAGAAAAUGUUUAUGCUUUCCUAAACCACACAUGCUAAUUUUCAGAUUUAUUUCAAUCAUGUUUUUAAAAAUAUAACUGAUAUUGGGAAAUGGUUAUACACAGUUUUUGAUAUCAUCAGUGAGGUUAUUUCCUUCAGCCAUAUAGAUGGUAGCCUUUUCAUACCUUCUUAUCCUGUGUUAUUCUUAUCCAUUCUUAAAAAAAAAAUCCAUAGAGGCUAUACCCAACUCUCUAGAGACCUUUAUUGUAUUUUUUCUUUUGUUUUUAAUAUCUUAUGAACAACAGCUAACUCCUAAUGUAUCCAUCUAUUGUCUCUCAUUUUUGUUCUCCAGGUGACUCACCGUUUUCCCCAGGGUAAUCUUAUAUGCCAUUUAUUUAAUACAAAUCAUCAUUAGGAACAUUCUGUAACCUGCUUUUGCAUGACAUAUUUUUCAGUUGUCUUUUGCUUUAUUGGUACUUUUCAUUUUCUAUGACAUGUCAUGUAUUCCUUGGUGAUUAUUAUUAAGAGAAUAUUGAUAUUGGUGUUUAAGAAAUAAGCUUUUGCAAGUGGCAAGCAGUUUGGGAUCAAUUCGAGAAUGUCAAUUUCUCAAAGACAAACCAGCUUAAUCUCUUUUUUAUAUAUACAUUAAUGUCAAUCUUAAAAAAUAGAAGUUUAUCAUCACCACCCAUAAAUAAUCAGAAAAUCUUAUGCACAUAAACCUCAAAAAAACACAACACAACUAUUCCAUAUACACUUUCCCUUCUCCCCUUUCACUCCUCCAAAAAAAAAAAAAAUCCUGGCUUUUUUUUUAAUCAAUUACUGAAUUCUCAUUUAAAUGGGACUUUUUUUUUAACCUGGCAGAAGUAGGCAUGGGUUGUCAGAACUUCACAUGCCUCUGCUAAUCUGUAGUCCCUUUUAUUACCCAAAAUUUUUGCUCGAUGGCCUACAUAAUUGAAUUUCUAAAACCAAGUGAAAUAAACUUCUAGGAAUCUGAAAAAAGGCAGGUCUCCAAAGCAGCUUUUGUACAAGGAAGGGUUAGUAUCUACUUUACUGCAGGGAAUUUGUUUUAUUGCAAUAUUUUCUUAAAGGAAUAAGGAAAUAUCAAAAAAUAAAAUGUAAAAAAAACAGUCAUUGAUUUACACAAAGAAAUUAUUUCACUCACACAUAUGUCUUAAUUGCUAUAACUCUAAGAUUUUGCUUUAUAACUCAUUUGUAAUUAGUUUUCCAUGAGGACAAUUAUAUUCAGGCAAGUGAGUAAAGAAGGCAAUAUUUAUUUUAUUUCUUCACUUGGACUGAUAUCAUCUGGGUCUGACCUAUUGAUAGUAUAGAAUAAAUGGAAUGUAGAGCAACUUUACCAUUUACAUAUAAAUUCCCACUUCAAUACUUAAUGUUCUCAUCAGAUUUUUGGAGGUCAUCUUAUGCUCCUAGUCAGCCUACUAUGGUAUGCAUUGACUUUCAACUGAUUUUCCUUGCAGGUAAAUGUUAGAAAAGCCAAACUCAGUUUCCGUAAACACAUUUUAUUUUAACAGCAUUAUAAAACCAUAGAGUCAAAUUUGAAAUAAUAUGAACACAUUGUUCUUCCACAAUUAGGCAAACUGUUAAAUAUGAAGAAGGAAAUUUCCAUUCAAUAUAUUAAUAAGUUUUUGCUUUGGAGAUUACCUCUGUUUUCAAAUACAAUCACCAUUAAAGGACAGUAUUGUAUAGUUAUAGGAGUUCUGGUCUUGGAGUGAGGAGAGAGUUGUUUAUAAAUCCAAUAUUUAAUAGUUGGUUGACCUAAGACAGUCUCACAUUAUUCAUCCUUAAACUGGGAGUAGUAGUGAAGCAAGUAACUACCUCAGAAUAGGCUUGAAUGACUUAAUUUUGAAAGUUCUGCAAAAAAAGUGCAUGACUCAAUCUUAUAUCAUAGCAUAAAAAGAUGAUAUUUUCCACCUAUGAAAUAACCAUUUCAGCAUUAGAAGGCAAAUAUAAAGUCAUUUGGGUGGCAUUUCUUAGUUAGCUUUAUCUGUUUGAUACUCUCCUAAAGUCAUCACUCAGAUUUCACUUUACCAGUGAUAGUACUAGUUUAAUUAAAAACAUUCUCCUGACCAAGUGUCUAAAUUUCAGGUGAGUUAGUAGAAAAUGUUCAGUCCUUUAAUGGAUUGAUUUGUCAGUAGUAUUAUAUGACUAAAUUCAGCAACAAUGAUUAUUAACUAAUAAUAACACUUCUCUACUUAUUUAAGCUAUUCAGCAGAAAGCUGAUUGAGUAGCAGACUAUCCCUGUUAUUCAUUAAUUACUUUCAAUAGAAUUUAAACCAAUAAAUUUUGGUUUAAUGAGAGUUUUGGCUUAAGGCCACUGAGAUUGAGGAGGAAUUUUUAAAAUUUGAUUUGAGCUUAAGGACAAUGGGUUUAUUUUGCACAGAUAUACAAUCAUGGUGGUUUGUUUUGUUUUGUUCUUUUGAGGUAUUUGGCAUUUUUAGUUCCUAUUUAUUAAAUUAAUCUCUUCAGUUUUUCCUUCUUGCAGUAUGUUGCUCCUGGAUUCUUUUGGACACAGGGGUUUUUGUUUUGUUUUGUUUUUGCUAAAGCCAUUAUUUUGUUAGUCUGGGAAGCUCCUAGUAUGGAAAUCUCCCUUCAAUAAUGCAGAUCAACAGUCCUGUAACUUAAAAGAUUUGGAGGGUCACCUAUGGGCUUUACCAUGUCACACAACUAUUAUAUGUCAGAGACAGGACUUGAAUCCAAGUUUUUACUAACCUCUAAUAACUAUGCUGCAUUGCCUUAGCACAGUGCCUAGCACAUAAGAGGUGCUUAAUAGAUAUGUAUUCACUUGCUUCUCUUGGACAUCAUAAUUACCUAGGACAAACUCUUCAUUGAUGAGAAGAAUUUGACCAUUUAGACUAAAAUUCAUAUUUAUAAACCCCAAAGAGAAUUCAUGUCACUUAAUCUUAACAUUUUGUUUUAUUAAUUAAUCUUUUAAAAAUUACUUUCAAAAUCAUUGAAAAAAGGAAGAAAAAAAUACUAGACAACAUAAUAAAACAUUCAAUGUCAAAUAUUAGAUUUUCAGGACACUUAGUUUUAAAAACAGUUGGGAACCAAAUUUUGUUGACAAUUCCCAAAAUGUGCUGUAUAAUUCAGUACUAACUUGGCUGAAUAUGCUUAUUUGAAUUACUGAAUCAUUCAGCUCUCUAAUAUAUAGCUAAGUAUUUCUCUAUUAAACUUAAUGGGUAAUUCUGGUAUUACCCAGAUUGGUAUUUGCAGUGUGUUGCAGAAAUCCAUAGUAGUUUCAAGGAAAAGUUAUAUAAUGCUUCUUUCUAUUUAAGAGAGGACAAAAGUGUAUCACACUCAUUUAAUUUUUCUCUGGCACUGGCUCUCCUGUUCCUUUCCAGUUCAAGAAAGGAAGCUGACCCAGAUCCCAUAAAAUUUUAAUAUUUUGCAUUUUGUUUCCACUAAACAGUAUACACUAGUCACAUUAACCAGAACAAGAGGAGAAAUUAUAAAAUUGUUAACAGUAUGUCUCUGGUUUGUUUAAUAGAAACAACAUUGUCUUUUUUUCCAAUAGAUGCCUUUUCCAUCAGUAUAGGGUAAAAUAAAUGAAUAUAUACAUCUUUAUUACAAUAUUAAUCUUAUCAUAAAACCUGAAUGAAAACAAUGUCCUAAGCCAUAUCAAGUAGAAGUUAUGUUAAUAUCAGAAGUGAGUGAAAAGCAGGCAAGUCAAAAUGUGACUGUGUAUAAUAUGCUUUAAUAUAUCUAGAUUAUCUUUGUAGUUCAGAGGUUCUUAACCUUUUAUCAUGUCAUAGAUCCCUUUGGCAGUAUGAUGAAAAACCUAAAAUUCCCUUCCUAGAGUAAUGUUUUUAAAUACAUGGAAUAAAAUAAAUUGCAUAGCAGUAAAAAGAAAACCAGAGGUCAAUGAAAAUAAAGAUUUAUUUUUUUCCCCAAUCAAUUAGUUUACAGACCCUCCAGGUUAAGUGUCCUUGCUUAAAAAAAGAAUAAUUACAUAAAAGGCUAAUUAGAACUUCAAGAUGUUAUUCAGUUGAGCAGUGUUUGUUAAGUUAUUAAUUUUAUCAGUUUGUCAAAACAAAGAAGUCCUGUUCCAAUGGGCAGCUAAGUGGCAUAAUGGAUAAGAGUGCCAAGCAAAAGUCAGGAAGACUCAUCUUUUUGAGUUCAAAUCUAGGCUCAGACAUUUGUUAGCUGUGUGACCUUGGUCCAAUCAUUUGAUCCUGCUUGUUUCAGCCUUUUCUUGUGUAAUGAGCUGGAGAAGGAAAUAACGAACUGCUGCAGUGUCUUUGCCACGAAAACUCCAAAUGGGGUCAUGAAGAUUCAGACACAGCUGAACAACUACUGUAAGACCUUCAAUAAAUGACACUCUCCUCUUUUAUCAAGAAGAAUGACAUUGUUCUUAUUGCUCUUACCACCCAAAAAACUGUAAAUAUAAAUUGUCCCAUUAAUUGCAGCCAAAUCAUCUAAUAUUUCUGGAUUACAGCCCCUUCUAGAAAAAAAAAAACCCAAAGCUCUCAUGGAAUUAAGCUAACAAGCCUUCAGUGUUUUUUGAAAUGUCAUCAGUAUUUCAACAAAAUCCAAUUUUCCCACUAGCAUGCAGCUUUUGUUUAAUCCAUUCAAGUUAAGAAAAGGGAAAAAAGAAGACCAACACAGUGGGAAAGUAUUUUACUACACCAGAUUUCCUUCCUCCACUUCCUCUUUUGGUUCAAUAUUAUGUGUGACUGGACAGCAAAAACAAAUGUUUAAUCUGAAAUGCAGAAAUAGUCUAUUAAAGGCCUAACUCAAGCAAGUUCAUUCUUAUUGAAGAGGUUAUAAUAGUAGUCUUAAACCAUUAAAACAAGCUCUUGAAUAAUACAAAAUUUUAAACAUUAUUUUCCCCCACGAAUAACAUUAAGUAAAAGCUGAUGAGCUCAAUUUGGAUCUCAUUUGAUGUAUGUGAUAUAUAAUGUAGUUCCUUCAAAAACUCAUAUUAGUUUUUAAAAAUCCAUAUGAAUUUCAUAUACUACAAAAUUCCUGAUGUUUCCAUUUUGAUUUCGGUAUGGAAACUAUGAGAUUCUUAUAUGCUGAUCUGAACCUGUGAUUUGAGUUGCUUAGGACAGUUAGAGAAUAUAGUCUCCCAGAUACUUAAAGUCUGAGGUAGAAUAUAAACACAGAUUUUCUUCACUUUAAGACCAGCUACUUUGAUAAGUUGUCUCCCACUUUUGAUCUAAUAGUUCAGAGAGCUUGAUUAAAUGAAAUUCUUAUUUUCUAAUAUUUGUGGAUAAUUUCCUGUGAUUGCAUGAUGACUUGAGGCAGCUAUAUUGAAUAAAUCAUGUACUAGAAUUAGUACAUAUUUUCUACAUGUUUCCAUUGUAAAGUCAUGCAGGUUUUCUAAUAUCACCACUUGGGUAUUAGCCUAUAGGUAAAUGAAGGUAUUUUUCUGUAAAUUCAAGAAGAUAAAGUCUCAUUUAUUUUGGAGAUUGUGUCAAACUUCUUAAUAAAAAAAAUUUGACACAUUUUUCUCUAGGCUUUGGUUGGUGGGAUCGAAAUAUCACCUUGGAUAUUUCUGUCAUUUUAUAAAAAUGUGAAUGUGGGUAUAACUGCAUAACUGUAUAUGCACAUAUCUACACACAUGCAUUUUAUGUUUUCUCCUUUUCUCUUCCAUAAUUCUACUUCUGAAAUCCUUUUGAGAAUUCCAUUUAUACUGAUUUCAAAUCAAAUCAAAAUAAUCAAAUAAUUGUCAUUCCUUUGUUGUUGCUGUUGUUUUUUAAAGGUGAGAGGGAGAAGUGCUAUGAAUUUUGAUGAUGGUAGAGCAUUCUUGAUAGAAACAUUUUAAUAGUAGCUUUAAAGUGUAUUACUGGUGUUUAAAUGCUAACCAGUAUAAUUUGUGUUUAAAUGCCUUGUCAGACAUCAGGGUAGCCUAUUUUAAUCCUUGAAGAGAAGUUUAUUUGUAACUCAUGGCUUUUUGUAGGCUUAUGGGAGGUUAAUGUAUAUUGGUUACAUGGAAAAAAUAGUUAUCUUUACUGAUAUCAGUUCAAACAAAAAAGGUUCCUGAUGAGUUAGUUGUGUAAAAACCUUAUGCCCAUUACCACAUCUCAUGUCUUGUUUUGUUCUAAAUGGCACAUAGUUAUUAACUUCUUCAAAUAGAAGCCAGUGUACUUUUUUAACAGCUUUGAGGGUUUUUUUGUAUGAUGAUUUUUUAAAUGAAAUGUGUACUCUUCAAACUAAUUAAAGCUUGAGGUUUUCCAGGAGUCACAUUUUAACAGUGUUUGUAUACAUUUUAACUCUUUGAUAUUUUCUAUUUUGGUUUUGUAUAUUUUUAAGUAUGCACAGUGUACAGAUUUUUUUCUUGUAAAUAAAACAUGUUUUCAUUUGUCUAGGA
Long non-coding RNA from Antechinus flavipes (yellow-footed antechinus), 6811 nucleotides. RefSeq lists it as uncharacterized. The transcript is spliced from 2 exons. Lineage: Eukaryota; Metazoa; Chordata; Mammalia; Dasyuromorphia; Dasyuridae. The record is from RefSeq and is a predicted model, not a curated record.